GACGAACGCUGGCGGCGUGCUUAACACAUGCAAGUCGAGCGGUAAGGCCCUUCGGGGUACGACGAGCGGCGAACGGGUGGAGUAACACGUGGGUGGACCUGCCCUCAGCUCUGGGAUAAGACCUGGGAAACCGGGUCUAAUACCGGAUAUGACUCCAUGACGCAUGUUGUGGGGUGGAAAGCCUUGUGCGGCUGAGGAUGGGCCGCGGCCUAUCAGCUUGUUGGUGGGGUGAUGGCCUACCAAGGCGACGACGGGUAGCCGGCCUGAGAGGGCGACCGGCCACACUGGGACUGAGACACGGGCCCAGACUCCUACGGGAGGCAGCAGUGGGGAAUCUUGCGCAAUGGGCGAAAGCCUGACGCAGCGACGCCGCGUGAGGGAUGACGGCC
RNAcentral lists this ribosomal RNA (389 nucleotides) under uncultured bacterium. RNAcentral's name for it is "bacterial SSU rRNA". It matches the Rfam family "Bacterial small subunit ribosomal RNA", at positions 28 to 416 of the family's 1533-position model. The record is from RNAcentral.